RNAcentral lists this ribosomal RNA (379 nucleotides) under uncultured Lactobacillus sp. Its description in RNAcentral is "bacterial SSU rRNA". It matches the Rfam family "Bacterial small subunit ribosomal RNA", at positions 169 to 524 of the family's 1533-position model. Lineage: Bacteria; Bacillati; Bacillota; Bacilli; Lactobacillales; Lactobacillaceae. The record is from RNAcentral.
ACCGGUAAUAACAGAUGAUGCCUAUCAACUGUUUAAAAGAUGGGUUCUGCUAUCACUCUUGGGAUGGGACCCUGCGGUGCAUUAGCUAGUUGGUAGGGUAACGGGCCUACCAAGGCGAUGAUGCAUAGCCCGAGUUGAGAGACUGAUCGGGCCACAUUGGGGACUGAGACACGGGCCCAAAACUCCUACGGGGAGGCAGCAGUAGGGAAUCUUCCACAAUGGACGCAAGUCUGAUGGAGCAACGCCGCGUGAGUGAAGAAGGGUUUCGGCUCGUAAAAGCUCUGUUGUUGGUGAAGAAGGACAGGGGUAGUAACUGACCUUUGUUUGACGGUAAUCAAUUAGAAGUCACGGCUAACUACGUGCCAGCAGCCGCGGUAAU